This 468-nucleotide ribosomal RNA is filed under the name uncultured bacterium. RNAcentral describes it as "partial 16S ribosomal RNA". It matches the Rfam family "Bacterial small subunit ribosomal RNA", at positions 28 to 507 of the family's 1533-position model. The record is from RNAcentral.
GACGAACGCUGGCGGCGUGCUUAACACAUGCAAGUCGAACGGAAAGGCCCUGCUUUUGUGGGGUGCUCGAGUGGCGAACGGGUGAGUAACACGUGAGUAACCUGCCCUUGACUUUGGGAUAACUUCAGGAAACUGGGGCUAAUACCGGAUAGGAGCUCCUGCUGCAUGGUGGGGGUUGGAAAGUUUCGGCGGUUGGGGAUGCACUCGCGGCUUAUCAGCUUGUUGGUGGGGUAGUGGCUUACCAAGGCUUUGACGGGUAGCCGGCCUGAGAGGGUGACCGGCCACAUUGGGACUGAGAUACGGCCCAGACUCCUACGGGAGGCAGCAGUGGGGAAUAUUGCACAAUGGGCGGAAGCCUGAUGCAGCAACGCCGCGUGCGGGAUGACGGCCUUCGGGUUGUAAACCGCUUUCGCUUGUGACGAAGCGUGAGUGACGGUAAUGGGUAAAGAAGCACCGGCUAACUACGUG